Molecule: ribosomal RNA, 466 nt
Filed under: uncultured bacterium
Lineage: Bacteria
Description: partial 16S ribosomal RNA
Rfam family: Bacterial small subunit ribosomal RNA
Source: RNAcentral
GAUGAACGCUGGCGGCGUGCUUAACACAUGCAAGUCGAACGGAAAGGCUCCUGCUUGCAGGGGUACUCGAGUGGCGAACGGGUGAGUAACACGUGGGUGAUCUGCCCUGCACUUCGGGAUAAGCCUGGGAAACUGGGUCUAAUACCGGAUAGGACGAUGGUUUGGAUGCCAUUGUGGAAAGUUUUUCGGUGUGGGUUGAGCUCGCGGCCUAUCAGCUUGUUGGUGGGGUAAUGGCCGACCAGGGCGUCGACGGGUAGCCGGCCUGAGAGGGUGUACGGCCACAUUGGGACUGAGAGACGGCCCAGACUCCUACGGGAGGCAGCAGUGGGGAAUAUUGCACAAUGGGCGCAAGCCUGGUGCAGCGAGGCCGCGUGGGGGAUGACGGCCUUCGGGUUGUAAACUCCUUUCGCUAGGGACGAAGCGUUUUGUGACGGUACCUGGAGAAGAAGCACCGGCUAACUACGUG